UACAGAGGCCCCAAGCGUUACUGAGAAUCACUGGGUUUAAAGGGUGCGUAGGUGGUCCGUUAAGUCCGUUGUGAAAUCCCUGGGCUCAACCCAGGAACUGCUUCGGAUACUGGCGGACUUGAGGCUAGUAGGGGUCACUGGAACUGACGGUGGAGCGGUGAAAUGCGUAGAUAUCGUCAGGAACGCCAAUGGUGAAGACAGGUGACUGGGCUAGUUCUGACACUGAGGCACGAAAGCGUGGGGAGCGAACGGG
This 253-nucleotide ribosomal RNA is filed under the name uncultured bacterium. RNAcentral describes it as "partial 16S ribosomal RNA". It matches the Rfam family "Bacterial small subunit ribosomal RNA", at positions 524 to 776 of the family's 1533-position model. The record is from RNAcentral.